This 276-nucleotide ribosomal RNA is filed under the name Triticum aestivum (bread wheat). RNAcentral's name for it is "partial small subunit ribosomal RNA". Lineage: Eukaryota; Viridiplantae; Streptophyta; Magnoliopsida; Poales; Poaceae. The record is from RNAcentral.
AUGGUGGCGACCGGGAGCUACGACGCCGACGAUGCUGGAACUGGCCAGUUUUUUUGCUGGAACGGGCGACAGGAGGUGCUACGACCGUGGCAGCAAAAUGUUGGAACCAACAGCCAUGGCCUCCAGCAGAUGAGGAACCGGCUUUUUAAAAAGCUUCAACCAUGUACUGGGAAGCUGCAACCGCAUGCACGAGAGCUGCAAGCCGUCUACACCGGAGCUACAACCAGAGGCGCCGGUCGCCGGCGAGGCUGCAAGCACGAGCACUCGGAGUUGUAG